CGACUAGUCAGAGAGG
Molecule: ribosomal RNA, 16 nt
Filed under: Ulvella sp. 1-BER-2007
Lineage: Eukaryota; Viridiplantae; Chlorophyta; Ulvophyceae; Ulvales; Ulvellaceae
Description: partial 28S large subunit ribosomal RNA
Source: RNAcentral